GGGUCCGCACAAGCGGUGGAGCAUGUGGUUUAAUUCGAUAUUACGCGAGGAACCUUACCUGGGUACAAUUAUGUUGAAAAAAGUUAAGAAAUUAAUUAUUCUUUCGAGACAACAUACAAGGUGCUGCAUGGCUGUCGUCAGCUCGUGCCGUGAGGUGUUGGGUUAAGUCUCCUAACGAGCGCAACCCUUAUAUUUAGUUGCCAACACGUAAUGGUGGGAACUCUAAAUAAACUGCCUACAAAAGUAGAGAGGAAGGAGGGGAUGAGGUCAAGUCAUCAUGGCCCUUACAUCCAGGGCUACACACGUGCUACAAUGGUAUAUACAGAGAGAAGCUACUUGGUAACAAGAUG
RNAcentral lists this ribosomal RNA (350 nucleotides) under uncultured bacterium. RNAcentral's name for it is "bacterial SSU rRNA". It matches the Rfam family "Bacterial small subunit ribosomal RNA", at positions 917 to 1267 of the family's 1533-position model. The record is from RNAcentral.